RNAcentral lists this ribosomal RNA (497 nucleotides) under uncultured bacterium. Its description in RNAcentral is "partial 16S ribosomal RNA". It matches the Rfam family "Bacterial small subunit ribosomal RNA", at positions 28 to 507 of the family's 1533-position model. The record is from RNAcentral.
GAUGAACGCUGGCGGCGUGCCUAAUACAUGCGAGUCGAGCGAACGGACGAGAAGCUUGCUUCUCUGAUGUUAGCGGCGGACGGGUGAGUAACACGUGGAUAACCUACCUAUAAGACUGGGAUAACUUCGGGAAACCGGAGCUAAUACCGGAUAAUAUUUUGAACCGCAUGGUUCAAAAGUGAAAGACGGUCUUGCUGUCACUUAUAGAUGGAUCCGCGCUGCAUUAGCUAGUUGGUAAGGUAACGGCUUACCAAGGCAACGAUGCAUAGCCGACCUGAGAGGGUGAUCGGCCACACUGGAACGGAGACACGGUCCAGACUCCUACGGGAGGCAGCAGUAGGGAAUCUUCCGCAAUGGGCGAAAGCCUGACGGAGCAACGCCGCGUGAGUGAUGAAGGUCUUCGGAUCGUAAAACUCUGUUAUUAGGGAAGAACAUAUGUGUAAGUAACUGUGCACAUCUUGACGGUACCUAAUCAGAAAGCCACGGCUAACUACGUG